AGAGUUUGAUCAUGGCUCAGAUUGAACGUUGGCGGCAGGCCUAAUACAUGCAAGUCGAGCGGUAACAGAUCGCUAGGAUCCCUUCGGGGUGACUUUGAUGCUGACGAGCGGCGGACGGGUGAGUAACGCGUAGGAAUCUACCCAGUAGCGGGGGAUAGCCCGGGGAAACUCGGAUUAAUACCGCAUACGCCCUAAGGGGGAAAGGGGGGGAACUCUUCGGAGACCUCUCACUAUUGGAGGAGCCUGCGUUGGAUUAGCUAGUUGGUAGGUAAAGGCUCACCUAGGCGACGAUCUCUAGCUGUUCUGAGAGGAUGAUCAGCCACACUGGGACUGAGACACGGCCCAGACUCCUACGGGAGGCAGCAGUGGGGAAUAUUGCACAAUGGGCGAAAGCCUGAUGCAGCCAUGCCGCGUGUGUGAAGAAGGCCUUCGGGUUGUAAAGCACUUUCAGCGAGGAGGAAAGGUUAUGUGUUAAUAGCACAUAGCUGUGACGUUACUCGCAGAAGAGCACCGGCUAACUUCGUUGCAGCAGCCGCGGUAAUACGAGUGGUGCAAGCGUUAAUCGGAAUUACUGGGCGUAAAGCGUUCGUAGGCGGUCUAUUAAGCAAGAUGUGAAAGCCCAGGGCUCAACCUUGGAACUGCAUUUUGAACUGGUAGACUAGAGUACUGUAGAGGGUGGUGGAAUUUCCAGUGUAGCGGUGAAAUGCGUAGAGAUUGGAAGGAACAUCAGUGGCGAAGGCGGCCACCUGGACAGAUACUGACGCUGAGGAACGAAAGCGUGGGGAGCGAACAGGAUUAGAUACCCUGUAGUCCACGCCGUAAACGAUGUCAACUAGCCGUUUGUGGACUUGAUCCGUGAGUGGCGCAGCUAACGCACUAAGUUGACCGCCUGGGGAGUACGGCCGCAAGGUUAAAACUCAAAUGAAUUGACGGGGGCCCGCACAAGCGGUGGAGCAUGUGGUUUAAUUCGAUGCAACGCGAAGAACCUUACCUGGUCUUGACAUCCACAGAACUUUCUAGAGAAGACUUGUGCCUUCGGGAACUGUGAGACAGGUGCUGCAUGGCUGUCGUCAGCUCGUGUUGUGAAAUGUUGGGUUAAGUCCCGUAACGAGCGCAACCCUUAUCCUUAUUUGCCAGCGAGUUAAGUCGGGAACUAUAAGGAGACUGCCGGUGAUAAACCGGAGGAAGGUGGGGACGACGUCAAGUCAUCAUGGCCCUUACGAGUAGGGCUACACACGUGCUACAAUGGCUGGUACAAACGGUUGCAAUCCUGCGAGGUGGAGCUAAUCCCACAAGCCGAUCGUAGUCCGGAUCGGAGUCUGCAACUCGACUCCGUGAAGUCGGAAUCGCUAGUAAUCGUGAAUCAGAAUGUCACGGUGAAUACGUUCCCGGGCCUUGUACACACCGCCCGUCACACCAUGGGAGUGGGCUGCACCAGAAGUCAUUAGCUUAACCUUUCGGGGAUGGCGAUGACCACGGUGUGGUUCAUGACUGGGGUGAAGUCGAAACAAGGUAACC
Molecule: ribosomal RNA, 1518 nt
Filed under: uncultured prokaryote
Description: partial 16S ribosomal RNA
Rfam family: Bacterial small subunit ribosomal RNA
Source: RNAcentral